RNAcentral lists this ribosomal RNA (202 nucleotides) under uncultured bacterium. RNAcentral describes it as "partial 16S ribosomal RNA". It matches the Rfam family "Bacterial small subunit ribosomal RNA", at positions 1298 to 1500 of the family's 1533-position model. The record is from RNAcentral.
UUGCAGGCUGNAACCCGCCUGCAUGAAGUCGGAAUUGCUAGUAAUCGCGGAUCAGCAUGCCGCGGUGAAUACGUUCCCGGGCCUUGUACACACCGCCCGUCACACCAUGGGAGCCGGUAAUACCCGAAGUCAGUAGUCCAACCUCGUGAGGACGCUGCCGAAGGUAGGAUUGGCGACUGGGGUGAAGUCGUAACAAGGUACC